CUUACGGAGAGUUUGAUCCUGGCUCAGGAUGAACGCUGGCGGCGUGCCUAACACAUGCAAGUCGAACGAGGCCCCAUGUACUUGUACAAGGGUGACCUAGUGGCGAACGGGUGAGUAACGCGUAGGUGACCUACCCCGAAGUGAGGGAUAGCCCCGGGAAACUGGGGGUAAUACCUCAUGUGAUCAGGGUUUUCAGAAAGCCCUGAUGAAAGGAGUAAUCCGCUUUGGGAGGGGCCUGCGACCCAUCAGCUAGUUGGUAAGGUAAUGGCUUACCAAGGCUAUGACGGGUAGGGGGCCUGAGAGGGUGGCCCCCCACAAUGGAACUGAAACACGGUCCAUACAUCUACGGAUGGCAGCAGUGGGGAAUAUUGCACAAUGGGCGAAAGCCUGAUGCAGCAACGCCGCGUGCGCGAUGAAGGCCUUCGGGUUGUAAAGCGCUUUUCUGAGG
RNAcentral lists this ribosomal RNA (448 nucleotides) under Anaerolineales bacterium. Its description in RNAcentral is "bacterial SSU rRNA". It matches the Rfam family "Bacterial small subunit ribosomal RNA", at positions 1 to 443 of the family's 1533-position model. Lineage: Bacteria; Bacillati; Chloroflexota; Anaerolineae; Anaerolineales. The record is from RNAcentral.